GAUGAACGCUGGCGGCGUGCCUAAUACAUGCAAGUCGAGCGAACAGACGAGGAGCUUGCUCCUUCGACGUUAGCGGCGGACGGGUGAGUAACACGUAGGUAACCUACCUAUAAGACUGGGAUAACUUCGGGAAACCGGAGCUAAUACCUGAUAAUAUUUCGAACCGCAUGGUUCGAUAGUGAAAGAUGGCUUUGCUAUCACUUAUAGAUGGACCUGCGCCGUAUUAGCUAGUUGGUAAGGUAACGGCUUACCAAGGCAACGAUACGUAGCCGACCUGAGAGGGUGAUCGGCCACACUGGAACUGAGACACGGUCCAGACUCCUACGGGAGGCAGCAGUAGGGAAUCUUCCGCAAUGGGCGAAAGCCUGACGGAGCAACGCCGCGUGAGUGAUGAAGGUCUUCGGAUCGUAAAACUCUGUUAUUAGGGAAGAACAAACGUGUAAGUAACUGUGCACGUCUUGACGGUACCUAAUCAGAAAGCCACGGCUAACUACGUG
This 497-nucleotide ribosomal RNA is filed under the name uncultured bacterium. Its description in RNAcentral is "partial 16S ribosomal RNA". It matches the Rfam family "Bacterial small subunit ribosomal RNA", at positions 28 to 507 of the family's 1533-position model. The record is from RNAcentral.